RNAcentral lists this long non-coding RNA (767 nucleotides) under Gallus gallus (chicken). The record is from RNAcentral. Lineage: Eukaryota; Metazoa; Chordata; Aves; Galliformes; Phasianidae.
GCCAAGAAGAAACUUAUCCCCGAGCUCGAUCACACGACCGUCGCGACGCUCUCAUUAAUACUAACUCCAAGAUUAUUCAUACUCUUCAAGUUACCAACUUCCACGUACCUCGCGUAUGCACUCACGGCCGUGCUGCUGCUGUGCCGUACAACGCCAACCGCAGCAAUAAGGCACGCAGAAAGCCCACCUGUUGGAGACAGAGCAAUGAGCUGUGCUUAACCAACACUGCCUCAGCGCACGCUUACCGUACGGCACGCCUACCUUGCAAUGGCCGCGCAGGAACCUCGGGACACAGUUAUCCGCUGCUCUGCCGAGCCCCACCUGAAUGGCACAGCCACUCACACUCUGCUCCCCGACACUCUGCAACAGAAAAGUCACCACAUGGAAAUGCAAUGAAUCGCAGGUGCCAGCAGACCUCCGUUCUCACGGCAGCCUUCGCAUCAUCCAGCAGACGCGUGCUUACCGAGUGAGCACUGUGCGCUUCCAGUCGAGAGGGGGAACCUACGCCUAACUCAAAAGUACCAACACAACACUAACCUAUGCCUAACACUAAAGUAAGAACAGCAACCUACGCCUAACUCUAAAGUAACAACAACAACAACAACCUACUCCUAACACUAACAUAACAACAAGAACCCCUACCUAACUCUAAAAUACAAACAACAACCUACUCCUACCACUAAAACUAAACUUAACACUAACAUCAACAAGAACGGGGACGGGGACAGAACGGGCUCAGAGGGGACUGGGGCCCGCAGAACUCGGCG